CACAUGCACAGAUGAUUUCUAGAAUCCUGGACCACACAUUUGAGCCCAUGAACUACACAAAGUGAAGGUUAUUCCAGCAGUCUGCGCAAGGCGACAGCUGUGCUCCAGUCCGCGUCUCUAAAAGAUCUUGUGGCCAGAAUCCAUUAUCGAUUGAUCCCUCACACAGAGUAUGGAAGCAGACUACAAAACAACUCUUCCAGUAAAAGGCCUCUUUUUUCGUGUGUUCAUUAAAGUAAAUCACUUUGUAGCUCUGUAGACCCACACUACUGGCCUCUAUGGAGUAAAUAAAAACACAUCUGAGACA
Molecule: long non-coding RNA, 304 nt
Organism: Notolabrus celidotus (New Zealand spotty)
Lineage: Eukaryota; Metazoa; Chordata; Actinopteri; Labriformes; Labridae
Exons: 2
Source: RefSeq, a predicted model, not a curated record